GGCUUAGAGUUUGAUCAUGGCUCAGGACGAACGCUGGCGGCACGCUUAACACAUGCAAGUCGAACGGACUUUAAUUGAGCUUGCUUGAUUAAAGUUAGUGGCGGACGGGUGAGUAACACGUGAGCAAUCUGCCUUUCAGAGGGGGAUACCUGUUGGAAACGACAGUUAAUACCGCAUAACAUAGUUUUACCGCAUGGUGAGAUUAUCAAAGAUUUAUCGCUGAAAGAUGAGCUCGCGUCUGAUUAGCUAGUUGGUGAGGUAACGGCUCACCAAGGCGACGAUCAGUAGCCGGACUGAGAGGUUGAACGGCCACAUUGGGACUGAGACACGGCCCAGACUCCUACGGGAGGCAGCAGUGGGGAAUAUUGCACAAUGGGCGAAAGCCUGAUGCAGCGAUGCCGCGUGAGGGAAGAAGGUUUUAGGAUUGUAAACCUCUGUUUUAAGGGACGAUAAUGACGGUACCUUAGGAGGAAGCUCCGGCUAACUACGUGCCAGCAGCCGCGGUAAUACGUAGGGAGCGAGCGUUGUCCGGAAUUACUGGGUGUAAAGGGAGUGUAGGCGGGACUGCAAGUCAGGUGUGAAAACUAUGGGCUUAACCCAUAGACUGCACUUGAAACUGUAGUUCUUGAGUGAAGUAGAGGUAAGC
RNAcentral lists this ribosomal RNA (646 nucleotides) under uncultured organism. RNAcentral describes it as "bacterial SSU rRNA". It matches the Rfam family "Bacterial small subunit ribosomal RNA", at positions 1 to 662 of the family's 1533-position model. The record is from RNAcentral.